UUACUUAAAUGGCAGGGGAGGUACCAUGAUCAGGCAGUGGUUUUCCCAGGGUGAGGCUCAUCCCCUGCACUUUGGGUGUGCUGAUCACUGCGAUUUCCACAAAUGAGGGAAACUCGAUUGCAUAAUUUCUGGUAGUGCAGGAAUGAGUUCACACUCUCUGCC
This 162-nucleotide small nuclear RNA is filed under the name Anas zonorhyncha (Eastern spot-billed duck). RNAcentral describes it as "U1 spliceosomal RNA (ENSAZOG00000013284.1)". It matches the Rfam family "U1 spliceosomal RNA". From Rfam's summary of the family: U1 is a small nuclear RNA (snRNA) component of the spliceosome (involved in pre-mRNA splicing). Its 5' end forms complementary base pairs with the 5' splice junction, thus defining the 5' donor site of an intron. Lineage: Eukaryota; Metazoa; Chordata; Aves; Anseriformes; Anatidae. The record is from RNAcentral.